GCGGAGAUGGCGGAAUGGCAGACGCGCUAGAUUCAGGUUCUAGUGAGGGUUUCCUCAUGAGGGUUCAAGUCCCUUUCUCCGCA
RNAcentral lists this transfer RNA (83 nucleotides) under Lachnospiraceae bacterium. Its description in RNAcentral is "tRNA-Leu". It matches the Rfam family "tRNA". From Rfam's summary of the family: Transfer RNA (tRNA) molecules are approximately 80 nucleotides in length. Their secondary structure includes four short double-helical elements and three loops (D, anti-codon, and T loops). Lineage: Bacteria; Bacillati; Bacillota; Clostridia; Lachnospirales; Lachnospiraceae. The record is from RNAcentral.